UACGGAGGGUGCAAGCGUUAUCCGGAUUUAUUGGGUUUAAAGGGUGCGCAGGCGGAAUGAUAAGUCAGUGGUGAAAUCCUACAGCUCAACUGUAGAACUGCCAUUGAUACUGUCGUUCUUGAGUACAUUUGAGGUAGGCGGAAUGUAUCAUGUAGCGGUGAAAUGCAUAGAUAUGAUACAGAACACCGAUAGCGAAGGCAGCUUACCAAACUGUAACUGACGCUCAGGCACGAAAGCGUGGGGAGCAAACAGGAUUAGAUACCCUGGUAGUCCACGCUGUAAACGAUGAUCACUCGCUGUUGGCGAUAAACUGUCAGCGGCUAAGCGAAAGUAUUAAGUGAUCCACCUGGGGAGUACGAUCGCAAGGUUGAAACUCAAAGGAAUUGACGGGGGCCCGCACAAGCGGAGGAGCAUGUGGUUUAAUUCGAUGAUACGCGAGGAACCUUACCUGGGCUUAAAUGUAGAAUGACCGACCGGGAAACCGGUCUUCUCUUCGGAGCAGGCUACAAGGUGCUGCAUGGUUGUCGUCAGCUCGUGCCGUGAGGUGUCGGGUUAAGUCCCAUAACGAGCGCAACCCCUAUUCUUAGUUACCAUCAGAUAAUGCUGGGGACUCUAAGAAAACUGCCAGCGCAAGCUGUGAGGAAGGUGGGGAUGACGUCAAAUCAGCACGGCCCUUAUGUCCAGGGCUACACACGUGCUACAAUGGCCGGUACAGAGGGUCGCUACCUGGUGACAGGAUGCUAAUCUCGAAAACCGGUCUCAGUCCGGAUCGAAGUCUGCAACUCGACUUCGUGAAGUUGGAUUCGCUAGUAAUCGCAUAUCAGCAAUGGUGCGGUGAAUACGUUCCCGGGCC
This 853-nucleotide ribosomal RNA is filed under the name uncultured bacterium. Its description in RNAcentral is "bacterial SSU rRNA". It matches the Rfam family "Bacterial small subunit ribosomal RNA", at positions 524 to 1380 of the family's 1533-position model. The record is from RNAcentral.